This 20-nucleotide microRNA is filed under the name Gallus gallus (chicken). RNAcentral describes it as "gga-miR-1587". Lineage: Eukaryota; Metazoa; Chordata; Aves; Galliformes; Phasianidae. The record is from miRBase by way of RNAcentral.
GGGCUGGGCUGGGCUGGGCA